RNAcentral lists this long non-coding RNA (580 nucleotides) under Homo sapiens (human). Its description in RNAcentral is "HSALNT0195145". The record is from RNAcentral. Lineage: Eukaryota; Metazoa; Chordata; Mammalia; Primates; Hominidae.
GGCACUGUCUAUUUCUUACUGUCUCUCUCCGCCUGUCUGAUGAUCUUUGUCUCCCUGUUUCUCUCGUUCCCUCCCUGACUCUCAGUCAGUUUACCUCUCUGUCUCUCUGUCUGCUUCUGACAGUGUCUCCCUCUCUGUUUCUCUUGGCCUCUUGAAUUCUCUGUCUCUGAACAUGUGUGUCUGUCUCUCUUUCUCCAGGAUAAAGAAUGCUGGCCUCGGUGGGCACCCACAGUCCCUGCAGUUGGACUACCCUGCUCCCAGCUCCCAUAAAUAGUUUGGCUGAUACCUUGAGGACUAAAGAAGUGCAUGGUGGGGCACUAGUCCCAGUGGGGCUCCUCAUCUCCUGUCAUGACCCCCUCAGGGACUGGGACUGGCGAGCCUGGCUUUUGCAGGCUGUGUGACACUGGGAAUACAGAUAUGUUCACAGCGCUCAAAAGAAAGGUGAUACUGAACUUAUGAAGCAGAUAAAUUAGGGGUGAUUAUUCUCAUUACAAAAGGAUACGCUACAGGGAUUCUUUAAGUGGAUGUUAGCCAAGGACAGAGACUGGGUCUGUCUUCACUGUUGGCUUCUCAGCCCCUU